ACAAUGUUAACUUAAGUUUAAAGUGUUAGAUUUUUAAUCUAAAAAUGCCUUGCACGUUGUAU
RNAcentral lists this transfer RNA (62 nucleotides) under Cooperia oncophora. RNAcentral describes it as "tRNA-Lys". It matches the Rfam family "tRNA". From Rfam's summary of the family: Transfer RNA (tRNA) molecules are approximately 80 nucleotides in length. Lineage: Eukaryota; Metazoa; Nematoda; Chromadorea; Rhabditida; Trichostrongylidae. The record is from RNAcentral.